GUUAAGGUGGCAGAGCCCGGUAAUUGUAUAAAGCUUAAACCUUUAUGACCAGAGGUCCAAAUCCUCUCCUUAACA
Molecule: transfer RNA, 75 nt
Filed under: Okapia johnstoni (okapi)
Lineage: Eukaryota; Metazoa; Chordata; Mammalia; Artiodactyla; Giraffidae
Description: tRNA-Leu
Rfam family: tRNA
About the family: Transfer RNA (tRNA) molecules are approximately 80 nucleotides in length.
Source: RNAcentral